AUGAAGCAGAGGUCCGCAGCCGUUCCAUGCUCCAUCGCGCAUUGCGGGCAGCCUUCGGGUGCUGGAAGAUCAAAGAAAGCUUUCCAAGGGUGCAAGGAAAGAAUCUUCAAAUACAGAUCACCAUCUCCUUGGAGAGGAGUCUUGGUGGGGCACAAGGAGGAGGAGAUGAAGGAAAUGGAACGUGCUGCCAGAGCCAUCCCGAGCAUAAUGGCUGGGAUUUGGGGGAGCUGGGCUGCAGGGGACUGGUUUCACUCAGGAAGGAGGCCUGGUAGGUGGGAAAGAGGAGAGAAGAAAACUUGUGUCUUCUGGUGGGUGCUAAAAAAAGACUUGAGGCUCCUACGCAGAUGAAAAGUCUCCCAUCAACCCGGCAAGUUACAUGAUUAAGACAAAGCUGUCCCACACCCUCAAGCCGCCCCAGGUAUAGAUUUUAGCCUAGGUGUGGCGGUCUAAAAUACAAUGAAAUUGGUUCCUGCCUUGGCCUUAUCCUCCAGGGAUGGACCUGCUGUCAUACCGCUGCAGGGUUGGCUCUCUCUCCCCGAGUGACCAAAAUGAUCCAGUAGAGAACCCUCAGCUUGGAGUCAAGAAGCAACUUCAUUCAUGGCCCAAAUAACAAAGUGACUUGUUGGCUGAUGGGAAAAUUUGUUCGGUUCACAUAGGAAGCUAAGCCAUAGGCACACGUGAGGGAGCCGCCAUUUUCAGGGCUUGGGUUGCAGGGGACAGGGCUCGGGAAGGUCCUGUCUUUGACAUUCUUGCCUUACGCUUUGGCGGCGUUAUCCCUGGGCUUUGUCAUCGAGCUUCUGUGGAGGGUCGCGGGACAUCGAGUCCCUGGGGGGGAGGGGGGGGUUAAAUCCCCAUGUGGUGGCCUCUCCAGAAUCGGCUCCACUGUCAGAGCACAAAGCUUGUCCAGUCCAGGGAUGCUGGGGCCACGCUUCCCUCCUCUCACCAUCCCAUGACAUCCUAUGCUAAAAGCAACAGGAAAUCCUGUUCCCAAAUGGAAGAGAUGAUUGUUUUCCUUGACCUUUUACAGUCAAAGAGUACAUAUACCCUGGGUUUUGUUUCAUUCCCCACAAGACAGUCUAGGGACAGUCCCCAGAUUGGGAAACAUUGCUGUGUACCAUAAGCUGUACCUUACCACGUUUUGGUUUUGCAGGGUGGGAGGGAGGGAGGGUGAAGCUGCUUUCCCUCUUGUAACAAUAAAUAAAACUGUUCAAUACUAAACUUUGUUCCU
RNAcentral lists this long non-coding RNA (1228 nucleotides) under Monodelphis domestica (gray short-tailed opossum). RNAcentral describes it as "lncRNA (ENSMODG00000051118.1)". Lineage: Eukaryota; Metazoa; Chordata; Mammalia; Didelphimorphia; Didelphidae. The record is from RNAcentral.